Molecule: ribosomal RNA, 560 nt
Filed under: uncultured Suillus
Lineage: Eukaryota; Fungi; Basidiomycota; Agaricomycetes; Boletales; Suillaceae
Description: eukaryotic LSU rRNA
Rfam family: Eukaryotic large subunit ribosomal RNA (bases 372-560)
Source: RNAcentral
UUUCGCAUCGAUGAAGAACGCAGCGAAUCGCGAUAUGUAAUGUGAAUUGCAGAUCUACAGUGAAUCAUCGAAUCUUUGAACGCACCUUGCGCUCCUCGGUGUUCCGAGGAGCAUGCCUGUUUGAGUGUCAGUUAAUUCUCAACCCCUCUUGAUUUGCUUCGAGAGGGUGCUUGGACGUUGGGGGCUGCCGGAGACCUGGAUUCGUCCAGGACUCGGGCUCCUCUGAAAUGAAUCGGCUCGCGGUCGACUUUCGACUUUGCGCGACAAGGCCUUUGGCGUGAUAAUGAUCGCCGUUCGCCGAAGCGCAAGACAGAACGGUCCCGUGCCUCUAAUGCGUCGACGCCUUCCGGGGCGUCUUCCUUAUCGAUGUUUGACCUCAAAUCAGGUAGGACUACCCGCUGAACUUAAGCAUAUCAAUAAGCGGAGGAAAAGAAACUAACAAGGAUUCCCCUAGUAACUGCGAGUGAACCGGGAAAAGCUCAAAUUUUGAAUCUGGCGGUCUUCAGACCGUCCCCUUCGCAUUGAUGAAGAACGCAGGAGAAUCCCGUCUUGACACGGAC